CCAGCCUGCCAGUGACUACAAGUUCAACGGCCGCGGUAUUUUGACCGUGCAAAGGUAGCGCAAUCACUUGUCUUUUAAAUGAAGACCUGUAUGAAUGGCCAAACGAGGGCUUAGCUGUCUCCCCCAUCAAGUCAGUGAAAUUGAUCUAUCCGUGCAGAAGCGGGUAUUUAUAUACAAGACGAGAAGACCCUUUGGAGCUUAAGGUACAAACCCACCUACGUUAAACAGCUUUCUAAACAAGCAUAAACCUAAUAGAACAUGGAGUUUUACCUUCGGUUGGGGCGACCACGGAGAACAAAAAAUCCUCCAAGUGGACUGGGAACUUCCCUAAAACCAAGAAAGACAUUUCCAAGUCACAGAAAAUCUGACCAAACAUGAUCCGGCCACCCAGGCCGAUCAACGGACCAAGUUACCCUAGGGAUAACAGCGCAAUCCCCUCCAAGAGUCCAUAUCGACGAGAGGGUUUACGACCUCGAUGUUGGAUCAGGACAUCCUAAUGGUGCAGCCGCUAUUAAGGGUUCGUUUGUUCAACGAUUAAAGUCCUACGUGAUCUGAGUUCAGACCGGA
RNAcentral lists this ribosomal RNA (567 nucleotides) under Schistura sp. 'parshadi'. RNAcentral describes it as "partial 16S ribosomal RNA". It matches the Rfam family "Bacterial large subunit ribosomal RNA", at positions 1901 to 2620 of the family's 2925-position model. Lineage: Eukaryota; Metazoa; Chordata; Actinopteri; Cypriniformes; Nemacheilidae. The record is from RNAcentral.